UUUCGUAGCUUAAUGGUAAGAGCAUUGGUGCGUGAAGCAAAAGGUCCUGGGUUCGAAUCCCGGCGAGA
RNAcentral lists this transfer RNA (68 nucleotides) under Agrilus planipennis (emerald ash borer). It matches the Rfam family "tRNA". From Rfam's summary of the family: Transfer RNA (tRNA) molecules are approximately 80 nucleotides in length. The record is from Rfam by way of RNAcentral. Lineage: Eukaryota; Metazoa; Arthropoda; Insecta; Coleoptera; Buprestidae.